This 516-nucleotide ribosomal RNA is filed under the name uncultured bacterium. Its description in RNAcentral is "bacterial SSU rRNA". It matches the Rfam family "Bacterial small subunit ribosomal RNA", at positions 501 to 1015 of the family's 1533-position model. The record is from RNAcentral.
CUACGUGCCAGCAGCCGCGGUAAUACGUAGGUCCCGAGCGUUGUCCGGAUUUAUUGGGCGUAAAGCGAGCGCAGGCGGUUUGAUAAGUCUGAAGUUAAAGGCUGUGGCUCAACCAUAGUUCGCUUUGGAAACUGUCAAACUUGAGUGCAGAAGGGGAGAGUGGAAUUCCAUGUGUAGCGGUGAAAUGCGUAGAUAUAUGGAGGAACACCGGUGGCGAAAGCGGCUCUCUGGUCUGUAACUGACGCUGAGGCUCGAAAGCGUGGGGAGCGAACAGGAUUAGAUACCCUGGUAGUCCACGCCGUAAACGAUGAGUGCUAGGUGUUGGAUCCUUUCCGGGAUUCAGUGCCGCAGCUAACGCAUUAAGCACUCCGCCUGGGGAGUACGACCGCAAGGUUGAAACUCAAAGGAAUUGACGGGGGCCCGCACAAGCGGUGGAGCAUGUGGUUUAAUUCGAAGCAACGCGAAGAACCUUACCAGGUCUUGACAUCCCGAUGCUAUUUCUAGAGAUAGAAAGUU